This 35750-nucleotide long non-coding RNA is filed under the name Musa acuminata (dwarf banana). RNAcentral describes it as "long non-coding RNA (MACU_LNC006073)". The record is from RNAcentral. Lineage: Eukaryota; Viridiplantae; Streptophyta; Magnoliopsida; Zingiberales; Musaceae.
CGACUUCCCGGACGCGUCCAGUCUCCCGAUCACCGUGAGAGUGCUGUUGACGAACUUCCCCGCCGUGAACACCAGCACCAGCGGUACCAGCAUCACCUCCUCCCGCAUUGAUACGUGGAAGCCCGCGCCCUGCACCCUUCCGAGGAAGGUGGAGCUUUCGUCGGGGCCGACCCUCAGCACGGUGUCGUAGAUCUCGAUGUUCCCGAAGGUGUAGGGGAGGCUCAUGUUCACCACGGUGACGGUGGUGUUGUCGGGACCGAUAAAGGUCUCGUGGAAGUAGACGCGGAAGUGGAUUCUCUUCUGGAUGCCGAGUUCGAACUCGGAGGUGACCGGGAAGGCCGUGGCAGCAGCCUGGAGGAGGAAGAAGACGAGGAGGAAGUAGAGAUGAGUGGAGCUGUGUGGGGAUGAAGCCAUGGCUAGGAUGACACAAGGAUCGAAGUGAGGUGGGUACAACGCUGGAUCAGGAACAUGUGUUUAUAGAGUAAUGUCUGCGCCAUGCGUCGUUGACAAAUACCAACUUUCAUAAACAUGUAAACACCAUGCCACACGGAGAUGGAAGAUGGAAGAUGGAAGUAAUAUAGAUAAUCUUGAGCAAUGAAGAUGGAUAACUGAGAGAUCGAUGAUAGUUGCAAGCAGUGGCCAAUGAGGAUAGUGUUGCGUCUUCUGCUAGUGUCAACUGGCCACAUGUAACUCAUGAAUUUGUCUUUUUCUUAACCAACCACAUCGUUCGAUGAUAGUUGCAAACGUUGACAUAAUGCAUGUCAACGUUUCCAUGUGAAUAACACCCACAUAAUCCUUCACCUAUCAAAGGUGUGAUCGGUUGACAAAGUUCAUCAUUAUUAUGUAAGGUACAUUUAUAUUAGAGGAUCGUCAAAUGCCAGUGCAUGUCAUGGUACUUUUCAAUGUGCAUAAUUGACACAAACUGUGUGGAAUCUCUCCCUCUUACUUGCCCCUUCACACAAUGCAUUUCUUUAUCAACAUAUGUUUGCUUCACCUGAGUCAACUGUUCAUGUGAUCCACACUAAAGCCUCCGUCGGUUCAGCAAAAUCGGCUAAUUGUCGUUACUUAAUGUUGAAAAUUGAUAACAAGUCUUUGUAAGACUAUCAAUUAAGAAUUUUGCACAUUUAGUCUCAAGUUGAUUAGAGAUUUAAAGAGUCAAUAGCUAAUGAAGAAUCAAAUAUCUUGAAAGGCAAAGAACCGGUCCUACUUAACAAUUUAUUAACAUUAAAAGAGCUCAAGAUUAAUGUUUUUUUUUAUUGAGGUAAAUAAUUUGUGAAAAAUAAGAGUAUUAUUUUAGACAAAAUAAGUAGUAAAAAAGAGGAUCAAAUUGAUUAACGAAACGUGGCAUGUCCACGAAUCUUAAAGCAUCAGAUUGCAUCAGUAACUAGCGACCACCAAAGCAGUCUCCACGGUGAGAAGGGGGAAAUGACGAUGUGAAGAAUCGCAGAGGCGGCUCUCCUCUUUGUCCUCCUCGGUGGCAACGAGCGCGAUUUGGUGAUCAAGGUCCGAUCACUUACGAUCCCUUCUCGUCCAAUUUUCCCAAUCUUGGUUAGAGUUUUAAUUUGAUGGAGUGCUUGACGCCGUCUUGUAGUUUUGAUGUCAAUUUCUUGGUGCGAUCUACUGUUCGAUCAGAAUCUUUGAUGGGUCCUAGCCGAUGAUCAUGCAACCUAGUUGCUCUAUGAUCAACGAAAACGAAACCUAAUAUUAUAGUUUCUUUUUCCUCUCAGUUUAGAUUCACUUCUUCCCCUUGAUCACGCAAGUAGUCGAAGCUUAACUGCAGGAAUUGUUCGAGUUUUUUUCACGUAUUUGAGCUUUUUGUGUCGUAACCUACUACGUUUUCUUGAUUUUAGACUGAACUAGGCUUUGCACUUGGUUGCUAUAUAUGCAUUCAAGAUAAUACUCUUGCCAUCAAAUCAUUGAAUUAUGUGGGGAUUAUUCAUCGAACAGAUUCCCUUUAAGUCGCAUAGUCUUUUGUUCCUUUCCCUGGUUCUGUUGCUUGUUGCAUAUCUUAAGUACAUUACUGUUUCCUAUGUCUGCAUCUCAUGUAUUUCACGUUAUCCAAGCAAGAAAUUUGUCAGAUGUGCAUGAUGUUCAACCAAUUGAUCUAAUAAACGCCAACUUUAUCUACACAUCAAUUGAAAGAAAAGAACAUCUUAUCAUUAUUCCAGUUUCACAGCUAGAAAGUAGUGAUGCAUCUGAAACUGUAGCUGUAUGUGAAAAUUUCGGCAAGUCAGGUAAAAGAAGUAAGUAUUAAGAAGGAAAUGUAUUGGUACCCCUUCCAAUAAGGAGAUAAUAGUUAAACAAGUUGCUAUCGAUUAAACUUAUGGGUCAUAUAAUUUAGACCUUUUUAGGUCUCGUCUACAUUGUUAGUUGUUAUCAAGGAAGUAACUAGCAAUUUAUUGUGAUUCAUGAAUUCCUUUGCAUAGGAUGGAUUUAAUAAUGUUGCAUGAGUAAGGCUUUCUGCAUUAUGGCAUGGCUCAUGUUGAUAAUAUGCGGGCACAUAAAAACUACUGUAAGGGUCUACUUACAGAACCUUAUAGGAAGAUGUUUUGGAUAAUGGCUACAUGCAAUUAGUGGUGUUAAGGAAGGGACCUAUUUUUGGGUUGAUUACAUUGUAACAUUGCAGUGCCUUUAAAUUAGUAAGCUGCAAUAUAGAGAUUAAUAAGGGAACGUUGUGUACUCUUCUGAACCAAAUGAUGUUGUAUUUCUUCUUAUUUGGAGGUUUCAAGUUUCUUGAUUGAGUUUCAUUUUGUUGUAGUCUUUAUCUAAAUUUGACUCUUAAAAACCUCGAGUAAUUUAGUGAAUGUUGUUGGAUAAUGCUUCAAUCAUAGUUGGUGUGUUGCCAUCUAUAAUUAACUCCAGAUGACUAGAAGACGGGAGGAACUAAAAGACAAUCAAGUAAAAUGUUGGUAAACAAAACUUAAUAGGUACAAAGGCAUUUUAGUUUUUAGGUUGUUCAUUUAGUUGAUGUCACAUGGAAUAUCAUGUCCACAUCCACAAACUAUGUUUGUUUGUAGAGAGUACCUGUGCCAUUUAUUAGAUUCUACCCAACUAUCAUGUGACAAUAACAAUAUAAAAGGUUGAUUUUUUUAAUAUAUAGCGUCCUCAGAUUUGUCCAAUGAUGCAACUCAAAUUAGAUGAUUUUUGGCGACUUGAAACUUCAAAUACGUCUGCUUGAGUACCAUGGGUGCCAGCAGCAUUAUCUAGGCCAGUUUCACAUCAAUUUUAAGAGUAGCUGGAUGAUGAUAAAUUAAACCAUAUCAUCAAGACUCCUGCUUCUGUGUAUUGUAGUUUUAUUGAUCCUGAUCUUCCAUUAGAAUUUUAAGACUCAUGCAUGCGAAUACAUCAGAACGUCCUUUAAUUGAUGAAUUCUUUACCUCUGUCUUGACGAGCAGUUUCACCAGGAAUCAAACUAAUGGUGCAUGGCCUGAAGAAUGUAUGGGGAUCAAUGCGUGCAGUAGUUUCCACAGCAUGUGAGUUUAUGGUACUAACAUCAAAAGGAGCCGCUGAUGAGAAUAUUGUAGAGCAAAGACUGCUCAAGGAGCUGUGCAAACAUGGCUUUUAAUAAAAUUGACUUGGAUAGGGAGUUUUCUUGGGCUAAAAGAUUAUGACCUGUAGCAGUCCAUGGAUGAGCUUUUUGGUUGUGUAUGAUGAAUAGAUUUUUGCCUUGAGAGCAGAGCUUCAGGUUCUCGUUAGCCUGUAACUCCUUGCUUCUUUUAUCACAUGCUUUAGUGAUCCUCGAUGCCUGCAAGAUUACUGAAACUAAUAUUUGAGAUUGGUAGCCCAAUUUUUUCUCUCUCCAGUGGGUAGUUCAUUUGGUACCCUAUGGACUCGGUAUCUUUCCUUGCUUAUCCCGUAGCAGCAGCGGAAAUUUUGGUAGGAGAAGCUUUAGAUUGACUUUGUUUUCUCCAGUUUGUGGUACAAAUAUCAUUAUCUGAUGUGGUGUCUCUUGAGAUUGAUGUGGCAGGUUCUAAAUCUUACCAGGUAUUAAAGGAUUGUGGAUGUUACUUUUUCUUCUUUUUGAUUCCGUUGAAAUCUUUUGGUAGGUUGUAACUCACAGACGGAGAUUGAGCCGCAGCAAAUUGACUUGAAGAGCAUCAUCAUGGCAGCAACUGGGCUUGGACUUGUUUGAGGGAAGGUCACUUGGACUGGUAUGCUACUUAGCCCAAUCCAAUUGUUUGGUUACCGCAAAGCUCACUGGUUCAACAGAGAUGCAUACUAUUUCACGAGGGAUUACCUUGUUUAACUUUUGCUCCUAAGCCAUACAACACCAACGCUAACAGCUGAAGAAGAAUAUUUGGGAGUCUCAAUUAGAUCUUACAGAUCGUGUUCUCCCCUUCUGCUGCUUAGGAGGAUGGCGACGAAGCUGAGGCCAGCGCAGCCGCCGGUGACGAGGUUGCCCUCGCGGACGAGGAUCUUGAGGGCGACGGCGCUGAUGUCGGCGGUGAUCCGCCGCCCCUCCAUCACCAGCGCCCGCCACGGCUUCCCGGCGAAGGCGAGCAGCACCAGGACGGUGCAGCACGUGACCAGCGUCGCUGGCACCGCCACCGGUAGCGCUGCCCCCACGGACAACAUCCCGAACAACUCUCCGUACUGAUUGUGUAAAUGUAAAGACAAAGUUUGAUUGAAGCUUAUUAACAUGUUCCCUGGGGGGAGGAUUUUCAGAGCAGUGAGAUUUCCUCGUGCAAUCGGAGAAAUCUUAUUUGCUAUCACAUACAGCACCGACGUAUACAACCUCGACGACCAUGAUGAUGAGGAGGACGAGGAGGAGGCGACGAUGUUGUACCAGGAAUGGAUGGCAAGGAGGAGGCCCCAGGAGCAAUGAAGGAGGAGGGUGUAGAAGAGGAGAAAGAGGUAGACCCAUGUCCGCCUCUUGUUCGUAACUCUGGUAUGUCCGCGGUCGCCCUUGGAUGCUUGUUUCUCAUGGCCAGUGCUGCAGUUGCUGUUGCAGAAGAAGUGGAUGUGUAGCAGAAGCAAAAGUAAGUCCAACUCUGCUUGUGUCUCUGAGUUUCCCACCUUAGUCAAGCCAGCUGAAUAGCCUACUCACUUUUUUUAAUUUUUAUUAUUGUUUUAUCAUUUUUUAGAUGAAUGAUAAUAUUUAUAUAUGAAAAGAUAUUUUAUCUCAUUAUUUUACUUAAUAUUUUAAUAUUUAUAUCGAUAUUGGACUAACGGGAGAUGCCUUGCUCGGAUAGAAUAUAUCUAAGGGGGGAUAUAUAUAACUGAUAAGGGUAAUAAUUGUAAUAAGACUCACGUGACAUCAGCUGCAUCAGGUGACGCAUCACGCCUCUGUUGACUUGAUGAGGCACCUGGUCAACGUGGAUCGGAACGCCUACCAAGGCGCAUUAACGCUCUGUUCAGGUUCGAUCCCUCACGCCACGCCAACGGCAACGUUAGACGCUACCAGAAGUACGGUCCCGCUCCCUGCGGGCCAGCACAUUAGACAACGGUAAUUAUCACUAUAAAAACCCUCGCACUCUGAAGGGAAAAAAAGGGGGGGAGGGAAGGGAGAAAUCCCCUAGGACCAUCCACUAACUUGAUCGUCAGAGGGAUCGGGUCGAGCUCCCCGACCCGACCUUUGUGUAGGUGCGAAGGCGGAGGUCGUCCACCAAAGGCGCAGGCGGGGGUUCCCUCCCGGUGAAAACAGCGACCUCGUCCCAAUCGGAACACCGUGAUCGGCCACCUUAGCAGUCGGGAGGAGCGUCCCAGGAAGAUCCCCGUCAUCCGGACCCGAACCAAACCGCGUCGGUCCCGAUGCCACGGCUUAAAGUUGUUCACACUAACACUAACAUUUCGAUGUUUGUAUUAUGUUGGGACAUUUUUUUUUCGGUGAGAUAGUGAGUUGAGUAUUUUUUAUCCGAUCAAAAAGUUAUUUGAUAUAUUUAUAUUAUUGGGAUCAAUAUAGUAUAGAUGGGUCUAAUUUCUCUUACAAAAAAGAAUACCAUGAUUUAAACAUUGGGACUGAAAAAAAAUCUUAUAAGAUGCAAAGUUCAAGCACUAUCUUGGGUGGUCAGGUUGGGAACUCAUUGGAAGCUCUAUUACCACCGAUUAUGUAAGGUUAAAUUAUUUAAUUAGAAAAUAUUUAUUUUGCAUGUCAUAUUGAUGCGAAACAUCAUUAUUUUCAAACUAAUUAUCUCCUAUUUAUAUCGAAUCCAGAUUAAUUAUCCAUUGAAUUGUACCUAAUUUAUAAGGAUUCGCUGAAGGUAAAAUAAGCUUGAGAUAAUAUAUGAGUUCCACCCUUAAAAGAGAUGAUGAUUGAGCAAUUAGUUUAUCCCUCUAACUAUGGAGUAGGUUGGGAAGUCGAUGAAGCUCGAAAGAGAGGAUCCUGAGCAAGCAAUCAACCAACCUCAGUGGUUCUUCACUGAAAGGAGGAAGCAACGUAAGCAACAUCUAUGGAUGAGAGCAUUUUUCAUAUUUUUAAUGGUGGAGAAUCCCCGUUGAUUUGAGUUGAAAGUGUCAACUAGAAAUAAUCAAUAGAUCAUGGUCGCUAAUAUCAAGUUAUCUCCGAUAACAUCAAAAUCUCACUUCAAUAAUAUCUUCCAUUGUAAGAAUCCAACCCACAACAAUUAAAUACAAGAAAUGUGAUAGGGAAAGAGAUCAACUUCAAAAUCUCUAUGAGAAUGAUCGUUAGAUUUAAUAUUAUACUGGAUAGUAAUUGUAAUACCCCAAUUAGAAGUGAUAUGGUGAUAAUUGUCCAUCAGGACUUCUUUUAUAUUCUCAUAAAACUUUUCAUUAACUCAAGCAAAGUUCUUCAUGAUGUAUCACAUGUUAUGAAUAGUAUAUAUAAAUAGGGGAUCGAUACAUGAACCACCAUAUAUUGGGAGGUACAUAUUACAUGACCCUAUAUUAGACAAUACAGGAUCUAUACCAAUUGGUAUUGAUUGAAAUCCAAUCAUUAUAAAUUUGUGCUGACAAUUAUAUUGGGAGGUUACAAUUGCUUUAUUUUAAAUGAUCAAUUUGAUUGUUUGAACUAUAGAGAAGGGGUUUUAAACCCUUUCUUCUCUCCUUUUUCUACCAAUUUCACUCAAUCUUUUCAACUCUUUCUCACUUAUAUCUUUUUCUCAUUGUCAUGUUUUCACUCUCUUAAACUCAUCAUAACUAUAAUUCAUGGAUUAGAACAAAUGUGAGAGGCUAAUUUAGAAGGAUUACAAGAAGAAUAUUUUGAUCGAGAGGUAUAUAUUAUCAUUCUAGAUUUUUAUUUAUAUAUGAGAUGAUUAAGCCUAUUCUAUGUUUAUUUAUACAAUUUGAUGGUGAUGUAUCUAGAGGAGCAAUCUUUUACACUUGUCAUCUAGAUUCAGGCUCGAUAAUGUACUAGUUAAAUUUACACUAUGCCAUAAUGGGGGUUGAGGAGGAGGAUGCGACAUGAUGACAUUUACUGAUGAGAGCUUCUUUCAUAUUCUUAAUAGUGGAGAAUCUCUCGUUGACUUGAGUUUAAAAUGUCAACAAUAAAGACUCCGCUAAUAUCAAGUUAUCUCUAAUAACAUCAAAAUCUCACUUCAAUAAUAUGUAAAAAUCCAACCCAAGACAAUCGAAUAUAAGAAAUGAGAUUGGAAGGAGUUUGACUUCAAAAUCUCUAUAGAAAUGAUGUUAGAUUUAAUACUAAACUAGAUAGUAAUUGUAACACCCCAAUUGGAAACAAUGUGGCAACAAUCAUUGGCAAGGGCUUCUUUCAUAUUCUUAAGGUGGAGAACCUCCUAUUAAAUCAAGUAAGAUUCAUUGUACCAUGAUAUACCAUCUGAGACAAAUGAUACAUAUCAUUCUGACAAGGGAUUAGCAUGCGAACAGUCAUAUAUCGGGUGGUACACAUUACAUGAUUCUAUAUCGGAUGAUACGUGAUCUAUACCGAUCGAUAACGAUUGAAAUUUAAUUAUUACUGACUUGUACCAAUCGGUAACAAUUGAAUUUUGAUCGUUAUCAAUCAAGAGCUAAGAUUGUCUUAUUUUAAAUGAUCAAUUUGACUAUUUAAACUAUAAAAAAUAUUUUUAUAUCCUUUCCUCUCCCCACUCUUUCAACCCAUUUCACUCGAUCUUUUUAACUUUUUCAAACUCUUCUCACUCACAUCUUUUAUCUCAUUCUUAUAUUUUUACUUUCUUAAACUCAACAAAGCUAUAAUUAUAUAUUAAAUCAAAUAUAAGAUGUUAAUUUGAGAGGAUUAAAAAGAAUAACACUUUAAUUAAGAUAUAUAUAUAUAUAUAUUUCUUUUUAAAUUUUAUAUUUAUAUAUAAGAUAAUUAAGCUUAUUCUAUGUGGUCAUGUCUAUACAAUUUUAUACUUGUCACCCAAGAUUUAGAUCAUGAAACUCGACGAAAUACUAGUUAAGUUUAUACACGGGAGGGAAGGGAAAAACAAUGGAUGAUUUUGAAUAGAUGUGAUAGAGUAUACAUGACAUAGAUAUAGAUCAAACCUCGUCAUAUUCACAACCAUUGUAUUGUGAAGAAUCUUAAGACUAAUAGUAGUAUGAUGAUAGUUGAUUAUUCUUUUCCAAGUAGUAGUAUGAUGAUCAAUCUUAUGAUAUAGAGCAACAGAUCAGUGACGAAAGUAAAAGUUUAAACAUUCAUAAUGCUCCAUACUAAUAUAUGUCAUAAUUGUCCUUGCCUCAGGAGCCAUCUACGUGGUUCAUGACGAUCAACUUAUAACCAUCACAACAUUGAUGUACCAUUAACAUACGAUGUAUGUAACACCCUACUUCUACCCUACAUGUAUAACUAAAAUAUGAUGUCAUAUUUUAAAUUUUUAUUACUGCUAUCAAUAGGAGAGUAGUGAAAGUAGAUAAUCUUAAAAUUAAAACAUGCUAACUUACUUAACAAAAUGAUAGGAUUUCUCCUAUAUAUAGUAUUUUGGACAUUUAUACAUAAUUAUAGCCUCUAACUAAGAGAAAAACAUAAAUAUAACAAGUCCAAAAUUUAUACACACAAAACACCUACAGAACAUCAUGCAUAUCUAAGCUGGUAUAGGCUUGCAUAUACUCACUGCUCUACCCAAUCACUUGGGUGGGGUAUUAGUAAUGAGUACACUCAAUAAGUAUAAGCCCUUAUAGCUUUAUUUAGGUAGCAUAUAUCAUAUCAUAUAUGUAAUAUUUUAAAAUUAUUGGCGUAAGACAUUUAAUGGAAAACUCCCUUAUCAUAUAACUUCUUUAGUAAACAUAAUCCCACAACAUAGCAUAUAUAAAAUAAAGAGUUAAAGUUCUACUUCAAAAUAAUUCAAAAUGCUUAUAUGCAAAUAUAGGAAGUAUAAUAAAUUCAUUGACUUCUAUGCCCUACAUCAUAAUAUAUAUUUGCAUUCCCAUAUCAUAUGUUAUUAUAAUAUAUACGUGCACUCUCACACUACACGUCAUAAUAUUUACAUACACUCCCACAUUAUACAUCAUAGCAUAUACGUGCAUUACAUAUCAUAAUAUAUUCGUGUACUCACGUACCAUACAUCAUAGAAAAUAUAUACACUCUCAUACCAUAUGUCAUCAUAUAUGUAUACGUAUAUGAUAUUUUUAUCAUAAUUCAUAUAUUUUUAGACUUACAAAAUAUAUACAUUCAUAUUUAACUAAUGCUUUGCUCAUGACAAUCCUAUCAUUCGAAAUAUAAUUUUUAAAUUGUAUUAUACAUAUGACACCAUUAUUUUAUAGUAAAUUAAACUUAUACUUAAUUAAACUUAAAAAUAAAGAUAUUAAUAAAAAAUCAAGUUCUUUAAUAGUCGAAUGUAUUAGGGAGUGAUACUCCUUGGAGCAAAAGGUCAUGAGAUGUUUUAAUUAAUAAUCCUACCUCUUGAAUUAUUGAUUUAUAAUAAUUUAUAAUAAUAAUUCAUAAAAAAAAAAUUGAUAAAAAUCUCUUAUAAAAUAAAUUAUACUCAUCCUAAUAAUAUAUGAAGUUAUUCCUUCUCCAUGGUAGCUAAAAUUCAAAUUGAAUUAGUGUCGAAAGAUUAGAGAUCCAUGGCAAAGUAUGAUGUCGUAAUUACAUAUUAAUUGCGUCAUACAAAAAGGUGAAACAUCGUUUGUGCGUUCUUAUAUUUGCUUCCAUGUAAAAUGCUUUAAUUACAUUAAAUUAUAUGUGACAUUGACACAUAAACACACAGUUUUUAUUUAUUUUAAGAAAAAGAUAAAGUACAAAGUGACAAGUAAUUAUAUGCGACAUUGGCACAUAAACACACAACAGAGAGAGAGAGAGAGAGAGAGAGAGAGAGAGAGGAUAUAUAUAUAUAUAUAUAUANNNNNNNNNNNNNNNNNNNNGAGAGAGAGAGAGAGAGAGAGAGAGAGAGAGAGAGGAUAUAUAUAUAUAUAUAUAUAUAUAAGGCGGAGAUUCUUCGUGUCAUGUAUUAAGCUUCGGUGACAUCUCGAAUCAUGCGAUGGCACUGUGAUGGAGGUCGUUGUAGUAGACGACGUAGACGUCGUAGGCGACGACGAGCUUCGCGACAGAGGACGUCACCGUCUCGGUCACCAGCUUCCCCCAUGCGUACUGGAACACCCCCGUCCCUCCCACGAUGGCCCGCUCCGAGUUCCCGGACGCGUCCAGUCUCCCGAUCACCGUGAGAGUGCUGUUGACGAACUUCCCCGCCGUGAACACCAGCACCAGCGGUACCAGCAUCACCUCCUCCUGCAUUGAUACGUGGAAGCCCGCGCCCUGCACCCUUCCGAGGAAGGUGGAGCUUUCGUCGGGGCCGACCCUCAGCACCGUGUCGUAGAUCUCGAUGUUCCCGAAGGUGUAGGGGAGGCUCAUGUUCACCACGGUGACGGUGGUGUUGUCGGGACCGAUAAAGGUCUCGUGGAAGUAGACGCGGAAGUGGAUUCUCUUCUGGAUGCCGAGUUCGAACUCGGAGGUGACCGGGAAGGCCGUGGCAGCAGCCAGGAGGAGGAAGAAGACGAGGAGGUGGUGGAAAAGAGAGGAGCUGUGUGGGGACGACGCCAUGACUAGGGUGGUGGAUGGACAAGGAACGUGAAGUGAGAAGUGAGAUGAGCACAACAAUAAGAGGGAAAGUGUCUUUAUAGAGCAUUGGCUUAUGGCUCUGUCAUCAUCAUACAUAUCAUAUUUAUCACAGGUAAGUAUGAUGUACACAUCAUCAUAUUAAUAUUUAAGAGAUUAAAAUUAAAUAAUAUUUUGAAUCCUUAAUAUUCGAUAAAUAAGUCUUUUAGAUGUAAGAAUAUCUCAAAUAAAUUUUUGAAUAAUCAACCUUUGAUAAGUGGAUCAUCAUUAUAUUUAUACACGGAAAUGAAUCAUUUACAAUUAAUUAGACUUUGACAUGUUAAACUCAAUCAAUUCAUGAACUAUUAUUGAAAAUAUUUAUGGGUAUACGAUUAGAAAAAUAAGCUUAUAUGACUAAGGAUUGAAAGAAUCAGAUAACAUAAUAGUUUAAGUCUUUGGAUUGAAUUAAUAUCUUACUUGAUAUAUAUAUUAACUCUGAUCAAUUUGAUUCAAACUCAUCAAUAGUCAUACAACUAUGACAUGAACAAGCUCUAAAUUGAAGAUUUAUCGGGCAAGCUUAUUGAACUCAUCCAAGAGUCUUAUGGGUGCUAUUCAAAACAAAAUUGGACAAUCGUAUCCUCAUUGAACUUGGAAGAAAUCGACUCGAGCCACGUUAAUUUAGAUAUUGAGGUUGGAUUCCCCUAGUUGGACAUCUUAGUCGAACCUCAAAGUCAAAAGUCAUUCCAUCUUCCAACUAGAGCAACAAGAAUUCGGAAAAAAAUAAUGAACCAAAUCGAGUCAAGUUCGCCGGAUCUAAGUUCGACCGAAUGGUGUAUUUGGAGUCCAUCCUUCCAAUGCGGGGGGAAGAAGAUGGCAUAAAAUGCAAUAAGCGAUGCAUAAUAACACCGGUGGACGCCCGGUGAUUACAGCAUACGGGCUCUCGAUCGGUAGGUGCCUCGCUCUCCGCCUUCAGCAAGCAACGUAGACGUACAGCGACGGCUCUCGGUCGGUAGGUGCCUCGAAUGCAGGUGUCGCUGGGGAGAUGGGUGAUGGAGGUCCAAAAGAUGAGGCCAUUGACAUGAUCGAUGUCGACUGUAAUCUUCUCAUCUUAGGACAAGAUCUUCCACCUCACGGUCUCGUACGUUGCAUGGUGGGUGAACGAGGAGGAAGCCAUCGAUCGGGCGUUGGUUUCCUCCGUACACUUAUCUUUUCUCCAUGCUGUAGCUGUCGGUGAUCACAUUUGUUGCAUGUGAUACACGUUUUCUUUUUUUUUUUUCACCUUUGUCGUGUACUCUAAUUCUGAAAGAACCAUCACUUUCUGAUCACUGUACAUGACUGUGAUUCUUGCACAGUCAUUGAUCUAUUUCUUCUAAUAAUUGACUAUGAUUCUUGCACAAGAGAACUCGUAAAGCAUGAAAAUUUGAUAUUAUUAAUUAAUUUUAAUAAUAAUUUUAUUUUUAAAGUAAACAAAUAAAUUAAAAGAAAAUGGAGAAUUGCAUAUUCUCCACUCUGUUGAUACCCCUAUUUACUUGAGAGGAGACCAAUGUAGUUUCUACAAUCAAGUCAAACUAGAGUCUAAAUCAAAACUAUGUAGACCUCCCUUCCAUCCCUCUAGCUAGGUCUCAUUCGGUGCCAACCGACACCAUCGAAACUUUAGCUCAGUUUGCUUAAAUGUUCAGCUAGUAAACAUACAAACAUAUCACUUUCCAUCAAUAUAAAAGUACAUAUAUAUAUUACAAUAAUAUGUGAUAUGAUAGUACACACAUAUGUUAUGAUAUAAGGCGUAGAAGAUCAUACAUUUUUUAGGCUUCCUACAUGUGCAUAUAAGUAUUUGAAUUAUUUCGAUAUAAAAUUUUACCAUCUUAUUGUAUAUAUAAUGUGUUGUAGGAUUAUUUAUACAUGCUAAAGAAUUUAUAGGAUGAUGUGUCUAUCAUUAAAUACUUUAUGUUAAGGAUUUUAAAAUAUUAUAUACAUGAAAUGAUGUGCUCACAUAAAUAAAACAAUAAAGACUUAUAUUUACUGAGUGAUUAAUCACCGUAGAUCAUAUUUUACAGAUAAAAAUAUUAGUAUCCCACUCAAGUGAUUGUAUAGGGAAGUAAGCACAUGUAAGCCCAUGCUAGCAUAGAUAUGAACGAUGAUUUUUCAACAUUUUAUGUAUAUAAAUUUUGGACAUAUUAUAUUUAUGUUUUUAUUUGGUUAAAUGAUAUAAUCAUGUAUUUAAAACAUUAUGGAUAGGGGAAACCCUAUUAUUUUGUUUAGUAAGUUAGCAUGUUUUAAUUUUAGGAUUGUCAACUUUCCAUUGUAGUCAUAUUGAUAUCAGUAAUUAAAAUUUAAAAUGUAACAUCCUAUAUUAAUUAUACAUGUAAGAUAUGGAAGAAACUAGAAGUAGAGUAUUACAUAUUCAAUGUUCUUGAUAUCGAAUCCAUCUAUGAUAGACUCGGUGAAAGGCUACAGUUACAUCCAAGUCAUCCUUUAAAGAAUCAAAAUAUAUAUUAACAAUUAUGAAAUGUGAAAGAUUUUUUAACUAAUAAAUUAACUAGAAAAAUUGAAUGAACGAAUGAAUGCCAUGUUUAUGGGAGGAAUAGGUACAUGUCAUUUUGUCAAGGCACGUGAUUUAUUUGGAAUUUAAUGUAACUUAUUCGCAUUAUGUUGAUUAUAGUUUGCGACAAAUGUAAAGAUUCCAUAUCAAAAAAUAAAUUCCGAUGUGCAUGUGUUAGAUCCCUUAUGAAACUUAAUUAUUUAUAGAGUGACUUUAACAUAUAGUAAAUAAGUUUGUAUCUAUGUAACUUGGAUGAUCAUAUUGUGAAAUAUACAAAUAAUAUCUCAAGUUAUUCCUUCUCCGUAGUAGCUAAAUUUCAACUACAUUUGGUGUCGAAAGAUUAGAGAUCCAUGACAAAGUAUGAUGUUGUAAUUACAUAUUAAUUGCGUGAUAGAAAAAGGUGAAACAUCGUUUGUGUGUUCUCAUAUUGCUUCCUUGUCCGAUAAUUUAAUCGCAUUAAAUUAUAAGCGACAUUGAUAGGUUGAUGUUCACAAAAACACACAACACUAACAUUAUGACCCAUCGACCAUUUUGUACCCACUUGAUUCAGUUUUUAGAAUUAUAUUUGUCUGUUUCCAAAAAAAAAUAUUUCUUUAUGUAGUACGAAGUAUUUUUUUGAAUUAUAGUAUAUUAUAGUGAAAUUUUUGACAGAUAAGCUCACUCUACAGGAGAUGAGAUUUUUACCUCAUAACACUCAUCGCUUAAUUCUUUCCAAGUAAUUAGAUCCUUUUCAUCAAAGCAUUCAUAAUCUUUUAUAUAUAUAUAUAUAUAUUAUUGAAUUGAGCUGUACAAUAUUAUUUUAGUUGAUCUUAUUAACAACUUUAUAGUGUGGUCCGAUGCAUAAUACUGCUACUAAUCCUAAAUAGGAGAAGAAUAAAUUUACUAUAGUCAUAUAUACCUACAGCUAUGAAAAAUAAAGCAUGUCACCGUACUGUGCUGCAAAAUAUCGAGGUUUGUAAAAGCUUUUCUUUCUCAAUAAUAAGAAGCUUUUCUUUAUUUUAAGAUAAAGAUGGAAGUACAAAGUGACACGUAGAAUAGCAUUUAUUUCAGCCUUUUGUUUUGUCCUUAUUCCAACCGCUGUCUUCAUGGAGUGACACCAUAGCCGGAGUUCUUUUUGUCGUGUAUUAAGCGUCGGUGACGGCAAGGUCUCGCAAUCAUGGGCUGGCACUGCGACCGACGUCGGUGUAGUAGAUGACGUAGACGUCGAAGGCGGCGACGAGGCCCUCGACGGAGGACGUCACCAGCUCGCUCGCCAGCUUUCCCCAUGCGUACUGGAACACCCCCGUUCCACCCACGAUGGCCCGCUCCGCUUUCCCGGACGCGUCCAGUCUACCGAUCGCCGUGAGUGUGCUGUCGGCGAACUCCCCCGCCGUGAACACCAGUACCAGCGGUAUCAGAGACGCCUCCUCCUGCUGCGACAUGUGGAAGCCCGCGCCCUGCGCCCUUCCGACGACCGUCGAGCUAGCGUCGGAGCCGACCCUCAGCACGGCGUCGAAGAUGUCGAUGUCCCCGAAGGUGUAGGGGAGGCUCAUGUUCACCACGGUGACGGUGGUGUUGUCGGGGCCGAGAAAGGUCUCGUGGAAGUAGACGCGGAAGUGGAUUCUCUUCUGGAUGCCGAGUUCGAACUCGGAGGUGACGGGGAAGGCCGUGGCAGCAGCGAAGAGGAGGAAGAAGACGAGGAGGUGGUGGAUAGGAGAGGAGCUGUGUGGGGACGAAGCCAUGACUGGGGUGGUGGAUGGACAAGGAACGUGUUAUACUUGGCAAAGAUUGACAAGUGAGAGGAGCACAAGGCUGGAGGAGGGAGAGCGUAUUUAUAGAGUAUUGGCUAUGUCAUCGUCGUGCAUAUAUCAUAUCUAUCAUAUUAGACGAUAUUUUAGACUCUCUUAAAAAGGUAAGUAUGUAAGCAUCAUCAUAAUAAUAUUUUAGAGAUUAACAUUAGAAAGGAUUUCAAAUCCUCAAUUCAAAGUUGAGUCUUUUAGAUGUAAGAAUACCUCAAACAAAAUUUUUGAAUCAUCAAACAAUAAGUGAAUUUUCAUCAUGUUCAAAGAUUAAAAUGAAUCAUAUACAAUUAAUGAGACUUAGCAUGAUAAAUUUAAGUAAUUAUUAUUGAAAAUAUUUAUGCAUGUGAGAUAAAAAAAGAUGAGCGAAAAGUAAUAUAUGACUAAAGAUUGAAGGAAUCAGAGUACAGAAAGUCGGUUUGACAAGUAACACCACGUUUAGCCUUCCUCUUGAACGCCGGUCUCGUUCCAAAAUCGCCGGACGGACCACUUCGCUCUCCGCCGACAACACGCAACGUGUAGCUUCGCUGGGAUACGGGUGAUGCAGGUCAAAGAAGAUGAAGCCAUCGACAUGAACGAUGUGGACUGUAAUCGUCUCCAUCCUCGUCUUCUCAUCUUAGGACUAUAUCUUCCACCACACCGAAUCAUUCGUUGUAUGGUAGGUGAACAAGGAGGAAAGCCAUCAUCCAUGGGACUGCUUUUGGUUGGUUAAUCCUCACACUAGCUUCUCUCGAUGCUGUACCUGAUGGUGAGGCUUCUUGUGCACGUUUUGUUUCCAAAAAAUCUGUCUAUUUUGUUGAGAAAAUAUUUUCAUCUUAAUCAGUAUAAAUAGGGGGAAAAUAGCUUCAAUGUAAAACAGUUUUUUCAAUAAUUCUUCUUGUCUUCUAUUCUUUCCAACAUGAUAUCAGAGCAAGUGAGAAGAGCGAGACUCCAUGGCCAUCGAAGCCUGUUAUUCACCACAUCUCUUACCUUUGUAGAGCAGAGAAGGGGGUGAACUCUUUUCCAUCGGACUCGCUUCCCUGUCGGACUCCCCUCUCCGUCCGCUGAUACCCCAGUCGCUGUCGUGACCACACCCGGCAUCGCAAUCAUGUGCGACCACAACAACGAGGGCCUGUUUUGGUGCGACUGGCUACUCGCCCUCGGCAGUGGAUCCCUCUCCAACCCUGUCCGCUCCUUCCCUCUUCUCCUCCAUGCGGCUUUCUUCUUCAUCGGCGUCGCCUGCACCGACCCUAAGCUCGGGUUAUCUACCGCCAUAUCAUCAUCUUCAUCAGGUUGUGAUCUAUAUCAAUCGCAGCCUGCUGCCUCGGUGUCAACUGUCGAUCCUUAGCUCCUACUAAGAGCUAAUCGCUACAGCUUCCUCCUACUGCAGCUUCCUCAUGUUGCAGCAUCGUUGUAGCUUCCUCCUCUGUUGCAGCAUCGUUGCGGCUUCCUCCUCUGUUGUAGUUUCUGCUGUAGCUUUCUCCUAUGCUGGAGCAUUGCUGCAACUACCUCCUUUGCUCCGACUUCCUCCUUUAUUACAUCUAUGCUGCAGCUACCUCUUCUACUAUAGCUUCCUCCUCUAUUGUAGCAUUACUACAGCAUCGCUGCAGCUUUCUCCUAUACUGUAGCUUCCUCCUCUUCUGUAGAAUCACUGCAGAUUCCUCCUCUGCUAUAGCAUCGUUGCAGCUACCUCCUCUUCUGCAUCUACCUCCUCUACUGUAGCAUGAUAGCAGAUAAGAUUUCUCUAACUAUAUGAGAAAAUCUAGAGUUGAGAGAAAUCCUCCCUCUUAAUCUGUAUAAAUAGGGAGAGAAUACCUUCAAUGUAAAAUAGUUUCUUCAAUAAUUCUUCUUGUCUUCUAUUCUUCCCAACAGAUAAAAAGGGAUGUGGACGAGGCCAUCAAAAGGAACACACGUCAUUUAUGAUUACUGCUCGCUGCUCUUUGUUACUCGCCGAUGUCCUCAUCCAUCAGUAUGAACUGGAUGAGAGAAUAAUAUUCAAAAUACUCAGUUAAUAUUUUUCUUACUAACAGGAGUUUCUAUAGCUCAUGAUUCAUAACUUUAUUUUUGUCCCUUGUAUAAGAGCUGAUUUAAGUUUCUGUAUAGUUUUAUCAAUCGUGUUUUUUAUGCUAGUUUUACUUAUGACGCUGAAUGGCUUAUCUUAAUUACUAAUUGAGCAUUCAUCUCAUUAAGCAUUUAAUUAGAUGACACAGGGCACAUGCUCACGGUCACUUAUGGCUCCUCUUGCCAUCCUUCACGUGCAUGAUAUAUAUAUAUAUAUAUAUNNNNNNNNNNNNNNNNNNNNNNNNNNNNNNNNNNNNNNNNNNNNNNNNNNNNNNNNNNNNNNNNNNNNNNNNNNNNNNNNNNNNNNNNNNNNNNNNNNNNNNNNNNNNNNNNNNNNNNNNNNNNNNNNNNNNNNNNNNNNNNNNNNNNNNNNNNNNNNNNNNNNNNNNNNNNNNNNNNNNNNNNNNNNNNNNNNNNNNNNNNNNNNNNNNNNNNNNNNNNNNNNNNNNNNNNNNNNNNNNNNNNNNNNNNNNNNNNNNNNNNNNNNNNNNNNNUUGGACGUCACCAGUUUGCUCACCAUGUUCCCCCACGCGAACUGGAACACCCCAGUCCCUCCCACGAUGGCCCGGUCCGCCUUCCCGGAGGUGUCCAUCCUCCCUAUCAACGUGAGCGUGCUGUCGCAGAAGUCCCCGGCCGUGAACACCAGCACCAGCGGUAUCAGCGACGACUCGUCCCGCUGCGACGCGUGGAAGCUCACGCCCUGCGCCCUCCCGACUUCAGUCGAACGCUUGGAGGGGCCGGUCCUCAGCACGGCGUCGAAGAUGUCGACGUCCCCGAAGGUGUUGGGGAGGCUCAUGUUCACCACGGUGACGGUGGUGUUGUCGGGGCCGAGAAAGGUCUCGUGGAAGUAGACGCGGAAGUGGAUUCUGCUCUGCCGGCCGAGUUCGAACUCGGAGGUUACCGGGAAGGCUGUGGCAGCAGCCAGGAGGAGGAAGAAGACAAGGAGGAAGUAGAGAUGAGAGGAGCUGUGUGGGGAUGAAGCCAUGGCUAGGAUGACCGAAGGAUCGAAUUGAGGUGGGUACAACGCUGGAUCAGGAACAUGUAUUUAUAGAGUAAUGUCUGUGCCAUGCGUCGUCAACAAAAGCCAACUUCCAACCAAAUCUCAUUAUCAUGUCUACAUAAAAAACCCAAACGAAUAUUACUCUUGCAGGCGAAGGUCUCAGCGUAGGGAAGAAGAUAGCAUAUGGUAACACGAUGUACACACCAUAUAGUCUUCUCCAUAUAUAUAUAUAUAUAUAUAUAUAUAUAUAUAUGAUGUCGAGCAAUGGAGAUGGGUAACUGAGAGAUGGAGGGAUGAUAGUUGCAAGCAAUGGGCGAUGAGGAUAGUGUUGCGUCUUCUGCAAGUGCCAACUGGCCACCUGUAGCUCGUCAAUUUGCUUGUUAAUUAACGAACCACAUUGGCAACGCUAUCUUUCUUAAUGUGUUUCACCACAGAUGUACGCGGUUGGCUGAUGGCUGUCGCUCCCGUUUGUUCGCAUCUUCGGUUGUUGACAUGUGGAAAUGAAGUGUCGGUUCCCAUGCGUGAUCGGUACCUCACCACUCCACUUCAAGUCGCGACGUAAUUAAUGACCGACGGUGCGAUGCAAAACCUUCACUCGCCAAUCAAGUCAUUCGUGACUCAUGUGGGGCCAUUAACCAUCUUUUUGCUCUACAGUAAUCAAAGAAAAGCUCACAUGAUGUGUUCUCAUAUCAGCAUACAAAUGAAUUUUAUGUGACUUUUAAUAUACAUACAUAUUCUCUCCUGUCAAAACAUAUCCUAAACUCAUGUUUAUUUUUACCAUUAUAUAUAUCAUCACGAGACCAAAAGACAAAAAGGCAUGGGAUAACAUAACGCAUGUCAAUGUUUCCAUGUGAAUCACGCCUACAGAAUCCUUCACCUACCGAAGGUGUGGUUGGUUGUCAAAGUUCAUCAUUAUUAUGUAAGGGACAUUUUUCUCAGCAUAUCGUCAAAUGCCAGCGCAUGACGUGUUACCUUUCAAAGUGCAUAGUUGACCCAUUCCGCGUGUAAUGUCUCCUACUUAGUUGUCCCUUCACGCAAUGCAUUUCUUUAUCAGUAUACGUAUACUUCACCUGUUCAUAGCAUCCAUAUUAAAGCUUAUGUAGGUGCAGCGAAAUUAGUUAAUCGUCUAUAAAUAGGAUAGAAAUGGAUAACAAGUCUUAUUAAAGCCAUUAAUUAAGAAUUUAGAAUAGAGAUAGUAUCAUAUUUGAUUUCACAUUGAUCAGAGACUUAGAGAAUCAAUACCUAAUACCUAAUAAAGAGUCAAAUACAAAUUUUCGUUUUUUGACAGACAACUUUUGGGAUCCACCUUAGGAAAGGAAAGAUCAUGUGGUCCCGCUUAACAAUUUAUGAUUCAAAAGAGCUCGUGAUUGAAUAGUUUGUGAAAAUAAGAAUAUUAUUUGGAUAAAAAUAAAUAGUAAAAAAAGGAUCAAAUGAUAUAUGGACACGUGGCAUAUUCACCGAUCUUUAAAGCAGCCGAUCGCACGAGUAGUAAGAACUACCAAAGCUCUCUCCACGAUGAGAAAGGGCAACGAAGGCGGGGGAGUGACGAUGUGAAAGAAUCAUAAAGACGAUUGUUAGCAACCCUUGUGGUCGAGGUGCCAGCGUGGUUCGAUCCAAUCCUAAAUGCGCUUGUCCACGUAGAUGCUCGAGUGAUGGAAGUGAGCAUUAUGUCGUGUUGAGUUUGAGCCUCGUCUAUCUCAAUAUAGUUUCUCUCUUGGUGAGUGGCCUGCUUAUUUAUCACCGGACACAGGUUAGGGUCGAGAGGAAGAUUUUUUGAUUUGACCCUUGCGAAAGUUAAAUUAGUGUUGGGUGAAGUAAGAGGGAGUUAAAUGCUCAAAGUUCUUCCCAUGAUGUCAAUUAUUGGGUUGACUUUUAUACAUGCGAACAAAGUUCUUCACUGCUUCAGUAUGAUAUUCGAUUUAUAGAUGAAAGGUUAUGUUUUUCUUCAGCUUCAUGUUGCUCAUGGUCCAAAGUGAACUUGCUAAAAGAAAAAACACUGUCAUGAUUAUGAUGGAAUAAUAUUUCAAACACUUAGAUUUUUAAUAUAAAAUUGUAUGUAUCUAAGAGCUGGUUGGAGAAUUGUAUAAGAUAUGUCUAUAGUUCAACGAGUUCUGAUAUUUUUGGAGUUUGUUGCAAUAGGAUUUUAUUCGUAAUAUUAAUAAACGAGAUCGAAUAAUUCUUUUUAUUUUAGCCUUAUUAUUUAUUCUGCAGACGUAAAGCAAGAUAAACAUUGUUAGCUCUUAUUUAAUUGCUGUAGCUUUCGUUAUCGUGUCUCGGAUCACGCGAUGGAAGUGAGACGGACGUCGUUAUGGUACAUGACGUAGACCACGAAGGCGACGACGAGUCCUGCGACAUCGGACGUCACCUGCUUGCUCACCACGUUCCCCGACGCGAACUGGAACACCCCCGUCCCUCCCACGAUGGCCUGGUCCGCCUUCCCGGACGCGUCCAUCCUUCCGAUCACCGUGAGCGUGCUGUCGCAGAAGUUUCCCGCCGUGAACACCAGCACCAGCGGUAUCAGCGACGACUCGUCCCGCUGCGACACGUGGAAGCUCACGCCCUGCGCCCUUCCGACUUCAGUCGACCACUUGGAGGGGCCGAUCCUCAGCACGGCGUCGAAGAUGUCGACGUCCCCGAAGGUGUAGGGGAGGCUCAUGUUCACCACGGUGACGGUGGUGUUGUCGGGCCCGAGAAAGGUCUCAUGGAAGUAGACGCGGAAGUGGAUUCUCUUCUGGAUGCCGAGUUCGAACUCGGAGGUGACGGGUAAGGCCGUGGCAGCCGCAAGGAGGGGGAAGAGGACGAGGAGUAAGUAGAGAUGAGAGGAGCUGUGUGGGGAUGAAGCCAUGGCUUUGAUGAUGUUGUGGGAAACAACCUGGGAGCAGUGGCCUCGGGGCCGACGCGACUCAGUUCGAGUCCGAACGACGAGGAUCUUUGCUCGAGGUCUCUCGGGAUUGUCGGAGUGACCGACCGUGCGGACCAGACCACCGUUGGGUUCGUCGGGAUGUCUAGGGGGGAAGGCGUCCUCUCCUUGCGCCCCGGGGAAAUAGCUUCAUCUCCUUACCUGCACACAGGUCGGGUCGGAAGCUCGGCCCGACCCCUCCGACGAUCAAGUUAGUGGAUGUGGAGGGGGUUUAAGAAGAAGAAGUAUUUUUUGUGUCCCUCUUUGGUGUGUUCUCCCCUCCCCCCCUCUCCUGAUGAACGAGAGGGUAUUUAUAGGGAGGCUUAUUGUUUCUCGAUGUGUCCGCUUGCAGGGGGCAGGCUGGUUGUGUCUGACAUUGGUUUGGCGUGACGUGAAGAACCGAGCCUGAGUAGGUGUUAAUGCGCCUUGGCCUAUGUUCCGAUCCGUUUGAUCGGGUGUCGUCGCGUCGUCCGAGGCAUGAGGUGUCAUCUGACGUCAGUCAGGUCUUAUUAUAAUUAAUAUCCUCAUCAUGACAAAAUGAUCGAAGUUAGGUGGGCACAACGCUCGAAAAGGACAUGUAUUUAUAGAAGAGGCGUUGCCAAGCGUCGUCAACAAAUGUCAACUUCCAACUACCGCAAUUAUCAUGUCUGCGAAGGAAGAAGAUGGAUGUUUGGCCUUCCCGGUGAAUGCAUCCUUCAACUCAGAGAUGGAAGAUGGUUCCCGAGUGUGAUCGGUGCGUCUCGUGCAUUUAUUAUAGAGGAUCGUCAUAUGCCUUGUUCGCUUUCAAUGUAAAUAAUUGACCCAAUCCGCGCGCAAUCUAAACCACAUAGUGGGCCCAUCACACAAUGCAUUUCUUUCUCAAGAUGUGUUUGCUUCACCUAUUUCAACUGUUUAUGCGGUCCACAUUAAAACUUCUGUCGGUUCUGCAAAAUUGGCUAAUUAUCGCUUCUUAAUGUUGAAAAUUUAUAACAAGUGUGUGUAAGACUCUCGAUUAAAAAUUUUAAACAUAUUUAGUCCCAAAUUGAUUAGAGUCAAUACCUAAUCAAAUACGAAAAGAUCAUCCCUCCACUCCUACUUAACAAUUUAUUAACAUUAAAAGAGUUCAAGAUUAAUAUUUUUUGAUUGACGUAAAUAAUUUGUGAAAAAUAAAGGUAUUAUUUUGAAUAAAAUAAAUAGUAAAAAAAGGAUCAAAUUGAUUAUGGAAACGUCACAUUUUCACGAAUCAUAAAGCAGCAGACUGCAUCAGUAAGUAAUAUAUAAUUUUGGAUAAAAAUAAAUACUAAAAAAGAUGAAGGGGGAAAUGACGAUGUGAAGAAUCCACAGAGGUGGCUCUCCUCUCUGUCCUCUUCGGUAGCAACAAGCACGAUAUGGUGAUCAAGGCCCGAUCUCUUACUAUUCCUUCUCGUCCAAUUUUCCCAAUCUUGGUUAGAGUUUUAAUUUGAUGGAGUGCUUGACGCCGUCUUGUAGUUUUUUGAUGUCAAAUUCUUGGUUCGAUCUACUGUUCGAUCAAAAUCUUUGAUGGUCCUAUAAACUAGUUGCUCUAUGAUCAACAAAAAUAUUAGGGAUAAUCCUAAUAUUUUAGUAUUUGAUAGGGAUAAUCCUAACACUUGCCAGCUCUUUCAUCAUAUAGGUUAAAGAAGCAACACCUAAGCAUCAGCAUGGGAGUCACCUGCUCCCUGCAACCGCUAGCAUAUAAACUCAUCUAGUUUGAGUUGCAUCACGGGAUAAAUCUGAGGAAUCUAUAUAUUAAAAAAAUCCACCCUUUAUAUUGUUAUUGUCAUAUGAUAUUGGGGUAGAAUCUAAUAAAUGACACAGUUACUCUACAUACACACACACUUAUAUAUAGUCUUAUAGAUGUGGACAUGUGACAUCAACUAAAUGAGCAAUCUAAAAACUAAAAUGCAUUUGUACCUAUUAAGUUUUGUUUUCCAACAUAUAACUUAAUUUAAGAGGGCAAUGCACCAGUUAUGAUUCAAGUAUUAUUCAACAACAUUCACUAAAUCACUCGAGGUUUUAAGAGUCAAAUUUAGAUAAGGACCAGGACAAAAUGAAACUCAAUCAUGAAAAUUAAAACUUCUAAAUAGGAAGAAAUACAAUAUCAUUUUGUUCAGAUAAGUACACAACAUUCCCGUAUUAAUCUCUAUAUUGUAGCCUACUAAUUUAAAGGCACUGUAAGAUUACAAUGUAAUCAACCUAAAAAUAGGCCCCUUCCUCAGCGUCACCAAUUGCAUGUAGCCAUCAUCUAAAACGUCGUCUUAUAUGGUUCUGUAAGAAGACUCUUAUAGAAGUUUUUAUGUGCCCACAUAUUAUCAACAUGGGCCGUGCCACAAUGCAGAAAGCCUUACUCAUGCAACAUUAUUAAAUCAUUCAUAUCCAAAGGAAUUCAUGAAUCACAAUAAAUAGCUACUAACCUCCUUGAUAACAACUAACAAUGUAGAGGAGACCUAAAAAGGUCUAAAUUAUAAGACCCAUAAGUUUAAUCGAUGACAACUUGUUUCUUAAGCACCAUCGUGCGAGUCACUUAUUUCCUAAUAAGUGAUGUGAUUUUUAGAAAGUAAAUAAUAUACAAUCCUUUUUCGUGUGUGAAUAAUAACGAAUGAAUAUUAUAUUUCUAUCUUUAUAUGUGAAAAUAAAAUAAAAUUAAAUUUAAAAUAAUAAUUAAAUAUUUACUAAUUUUUAGGGAGAUUUCAUCUUCUUCUAUAUAAACUAGCUCCCCCUUCCUCAUUCCACACCGAGCAAAAUAAAAGUAUUGAAGAAAAGAUAUUUCAAGAAGAUGAUUUUGAGGUGAGGUAAGAUCCUCUAUUCUUUUCUAAUCAAAUUUUAUUCAUAUUUUAAAAUCUUUAAUAUUAAAAGAUUUUCUAUUCUAUUCUAAUCAGUUUUGAUUCAUAUUUUGAAAUCCUUGAUAUUAAAAUUGUUGUGAUCGUAUGAUGCAUAAUAAUAUUUUAAUUUUAAAAUUUUAUAAUUAAUAAAUAAUGAUAAUUGAUUUAUAAUGUUAGAAUGAUUAUUUGAUUUAUAAUGAUCUUUUAAACUUAAGUAACUUUUAAGAUUGAUUUAAUUAUUAAAACUUUUAUUAUUUUAGAUUAAUAUAAUAGUUUUAAUUUAUUUAGUUAUAUAUAUUUAUAUUUUAAGAAUUAGCUAUAAAUUUGAAUGACUUAAUUAGUUUUAAAUUUAAGAUUAUGAAUUUAAAAUUUUUAAUUUAUGAAUUUAAAAUAUUUUUUUAAUAAUUUAAAAUAUUAAAAAAUUUGAUAAGAUGAGCCAGUCUGACUUGAGGUAGGUUGAUCUGUCAAAUUGAGUCAAUCCAACUCUUAUAUCAUAUUUAUCAUAAUUUAUAUUAUUUUUAGAUUUAUAAAAUAUAUAAAUAUAUAUUUAGCUCAUACUUAACUCAUGACAAUCAUAUUAUUCUAAACAUACUUUCUAAAAUAUAUUAUACAUAUAAUAAGAUAUAUGACUAUUAUUAUAUAGUAAAUUAAAUUUAUACUUAUCAGAUUAAAUUUAAAAAUAAAGAUAUUAAUAAAAAAAUAUGUUCCUUAAUGAUUGAGUGUGCUGAAGAGCAAUAGACCUACCAAACUACGAGCAAAAGGUUAUGAGAUGCUUUAAUUAAGAAUCUUGCAUCUUCAAUUAUUGAUUUAUAGUAUUUUAUAAUAAUAAUUCAUUACAAAAAUAUUUUUUAUAAAUUAAGUUAUACUCAACCUAUCAAUAUCUCAAGUUAUUCCUGAUAGGGGAGUCACCGUGGAGUCAACGGGGAUACGGACCAUGACGCCAGCCAUCCCAUGGUGGGACAAUCAAAGUGACUCCCCUCAGGAAGUGAUGGCGACGCGACAUAACAUGACACCCUCUGCGCGUGGGCCGCACCCUGCCCAAGUGAACGGGCAUUAACGCUGACUCGACGUUCCCAACGUCACCCCCUCAACCAACGACUCCCUCGCCCAUACCCUGCGACACGAUGGUCCGCCACGCAACCCUAAUGGCAAUGUCAAAUCCAGCCAGAGGCACGACCCUAUUCUGACAAGUAGGAACAUCAGGUAAUGUCAGACCCAAACUAUAAAAGAGUCCAGGGCCUAAAGGCCAAAGGGGAGAACUCUACACAGAAAAAAGCCCUUCUCGCCCACUAAUUGGAUCGUCGGAGGGGUUGGGCCAUCAGGACGGCCCGACCUUUGUGCAGGUACACGGCGGCCGACCACCGGGGAUUUGCAGCCGGCCAUCUCUGAAGGCCACCCGCCGAUCGGGUUUGCCCCGAGCGCUCACCCAAAAGGCGUCAAGAGGCUCUACCCAUGAUCUUCGGCAUCCGGACCCCUGAACCGAGCCUUAUCGUCCCGAGAUCACGGCUCAAGCAGGUGCAGACCGCAUCAAUUCCUUGUCCGUAGUAGCUAAAAUUCAACUAUAUUUAGUAUCCAAAGAUUAGAGAUCCAUGAUAAAGUAUGAUGUCAGUAAUUAUGUAUUAAUUGCGUGAUAAAAAAGGUGAAACAUCGUUUGUCCAUUCUCAUAUUUGCUUCCAUGUCCAAUGCUUUAAUUACAUUAUAUUAUAUGCGACAUCGACACGGUCUCAUGUUCACAGAAACACACAACACUAACAAUAUGAUCCAUCGACCAUUUUGUACCCACUUGUUUCAGUUUUCUUUGUGUGUUUCCAGAAAAAAAAAGGCUUUAUGUAGAACGAAGUUUGAUAAUUUUUUAGAAUUAUAGUAGAUUAUAAUGAAAAAAUUGACAGAUAACCUAUCCUUAAUGUCACUCUACAGGAUAUGAGUUUUAUACCACAUAAUACUCCUCGUUUAAUUCUUUCCAAGUAAUUAGAUCUUUUUCUUCAUUCAAGAAUUUUAUAUGAUGCAUAAAAGCAUUCAUGAAUUUUAUAUAUAUAUAUAUAUAUAUAUAUAUAUAUAUAUAUAUAUACUUUAUUUUAUUAUAUUGAGUUUGGCUGUACAAUAUUAUUUUAGUUGAUCUUAUUAACCACUUUACAGUGUGGUCCGAUGCACUACGAAUUCUAAAUAGGAGAAGAAUUGAUUUACUACAGUCAUAUAUACCUAAAAAAUAAAACAUGUCACCGUACUUUGCUGCCAAAUAUCGACGUUUGUAAAACCUUUUCUUUCUCAAUAAUAAGAAGCUUUAAUUUAUUUUAAGAGAAAGAUGAAGAACAAAGUGACACGUAGAAUAGCAUUUAGUUCAGCCUUUUGUUUUGUCCUUAUUCCAAUUACUGUCUUCGUGGAGUGACGCCAGAGGCCGAGCUUCUUUGUGCCUUGUAUUAAGCUUCGGUGACGGCCACGUCGUUUAAUCAUGCGAUGGCACUGCGACCGACGUCGGUGUAGUAGAUGACGUAGACGUCGAAGGCGGCGACGAGGCCCUCGACGGAGGACGUCACCAGCUUGCUCGCCAGCUUCCCCCAUGCGUACUGGAAAACCCCCGUCCCACCCACGAUGGCCCGCUCCGCCUUCCCGGACGCGUCCAGUCUCCCGAUCGCCGUGAGCGUGCUGUCGGCGAACUCUCCCGUNNNNNNNNNNNNNNNNNNNNNNNNNNNNNNNNNNNNNNNNNNNNNNNNNNNNNNNNNNNNNNNNNNNNNNNNNNNNNNNUUAGACGAUAUUUUAGACUCUCUUAAAAAGGUAAGUAUGUAAGCAUCAUCAUAAUAAUAUUUUAGAGAUUAACAUUAGAAAGGAUUUCAAAUCCUCAAUUCAAAGUUGAGUCUUUUAGAUGUAAGAAUAUCUCAAACUAAAUUCUUGAAUCAUCAAUCAAUAAGUGAAUUUUUAUCAUGUUUAUAGAUUAAAAUGAAUCAUAUACAAUUAAUGAGACUUAGCAUGAUAAAUUUAAGUAAUUCUUAUUGAAAAUAUUUAUGUACGUGAGAUAAAAAAAGAUGAGAGAAAAGUAAUAUAUGACUAAAGAUUGAAGGAGUCAGAGUACAGAAAGUCGGUUUGACAAGUAACACCACGUUUAGCCUUCCUCUUGAACGCCGGUCUCGUUCCAAAAUCGCCGGCCGGACCACUUCGCUCUCCGCCGACAACACGCAACGUCUAGUUUCGCUGGGAUAUGGGUGAUGCGGGUCAAAGUAGAUGAAGCCAUCGACAUGAACGAUGUCGUCUGUAUUCGUCUCUAUCCUCGUCUUCUCAUCUCAGGACAAUAUCUUCCACCUCACGGUAUCAUACGUUGCAUGGUAGGUGAACAAGGAGGAAAGCCAUCAUCCAUGGGGCUGCUUUUGGUUGGUUAAUGGUGAGGGUUCCAUCACAUUUGUUCCGUGUGAUACACGUUUUCUUUCCACCUUUGGUGAAAGAAGAACAUUUGGUGACUAUAAGGGCAUAUUUGCAUAUCAAAUUUGCGAUAAAAAGGGAUGUGGAUGAGACCAUCAAUGUGAUUGAUGCCUCAAUUUUGGAGAAGGAACGCACGUCGUUUACGAUUGCUGCUCUUCGUUACUCGUCGAUCUCCUCAUCCAUCAGUAUGAACUGGAUGAGAGAAUAAUAUUCAAAUUACUCAUUUAAUAUUUUUCUUACUUAAUAGGAGUUUCUAUAGCUCAUGAUUCAUAACUUUAUUUUUGUCCCUUGUAUAAGAGCUGAUUUAAGUUUCUGUAUAGUUUUAUCAAUAGUGUUUUUUAUGCUAGUUUUACUUAUGACGCUGAAUGGCUUAUCUUAAUAACAAACUGAGCAUUCAUUUCAUUAAACAUUUAAUUAGANNNNNNNNNNNNNNNNNNNNNNNNNNNNNNNNNNNNNNNNNNNNNNNNNNNNNNNNNNNNNNNNNNNNNNNNNNNNNNNNNNNNNNNNNNNNNNNNNNNNNNNNNNNNNNNNNNNNNNNNNNNNNNNNNNNNNNNNNNNNNNNNNNNNNNNNNNNNNNNNNNNNNNNNNNNNNNNNNNNNNNNNNNNNNNNNNNNNNNNNNNNNNNNNNNNNNNNNNNNNNNNNNNNNNNNNNNNNNNNNNNNNNNNNNNNNNNNNNNNNNNNNNNNNNNNNNNNNNNNNNNNNNNNNNNNNNNNNNNNNNNNNNNNNNNNNNNNNNNNNNNNNNNNNNNNNNNNNNNNNNNNNNNNNNNNNNNNNNNUAAUUGGAUAAGAUAUAUAAUAUAACUAAUUGUUGUAAGUAUUAGAUUUUGUGAUCCUUUUAUAAUUGGAUAUAUAUAUUAGAUAUAACAAGAGGUACGUCUGUAAACACGUACAGACGUACCUCUUGUUGGGAAAUCUUGGGGGCGACAUCACAUGCACAGCGGAAGAACAAGAAAACAAAAUCCUCUAUUCCCAAAGAGAUGUUCGUCGUCGUGCAAAGAUUGGUGCGCAAAAUCCGUGAAACUUAAAACUACGUAUAGAGUAGAUUGUGUUACCUAGGGAGAUCGUAUAUCCUUGUUUCGUUACAGCUUUUUAGGAGAGGAUGAAAGAGGUCAAGCGUCCUCCUCUCUAGCGGUGAUCUACAUAGUAGGGUUGCGACGAUGCUCCUCAAAACUCCAGGCCUGCUAUGAGGUGGAGAGGGAGAGGAGAAUAGGAGAGGCAAGCAAAUGCUCUAGCUCUGAAUCCCUCCUAUUUAUAGAAGCCCCUUGUCAAAAACCUAAUGGAUCCUCCCCUAGUGGAUAUUGGAUCUACAUCUAAUUACCCAAGCCUUUUAGAUUAGUGGAUCUUUAUCCAAUAAUAUCACAUUGGCUCUUAUUGGAUCUCGUCCAUGGGAUCCAAUAAUUCAUGGGCUUAUUGGAUAUCCAAUAAGACAAGGGCUCUAGCGGAUAUCUCAUAUCCGAACCUUUACUUAUCGUAAUGCCUACCAUAUGUGUGUGACCCUCUAGACCCAAUAUCGAGUUGGCUGUGAGUUAUACUUGUCAGAACUCCUUCUAACUUAGUGAAUUAUUAUCUAUGCAAUAAUUCACUCGACUCAUCGACUACGGACGUAUUAGACCACUACGUCGUAGUCCCCAGACGAUACAGGGGAAUCCAAUCCAUUGGACCUGUCUGUCCUUAGUUACCGUGUACUUAUAGUCCCUCAUCCACCUAAUAUCCCAGAGACCGUAUAUCGAGCAUGGUGUUGUUAGACUCAUACGGUUUUUACUCGAGUCUCGCUCUACUCGGAUUCUCCCGGAGAACUGUUUCUCUCUUAACCCGAAUGGCCCUAGCCAGGGAUUUGUCUGAGCAAGAACACAUGGGAUAUUCCUCUCAUGAUGUCGAGAGUGGAUGAUUCUCUAUCGACACUCAAUAGCCCUCGUAAUGUCGACUGUCACUCCCAAUGACAAGUUGUAUUAGAUCUGGGACAGCCAAACCUAUAAGUCUGGUAUCAAAGAGUGGAGCACUCAUACAGGACAUCCUUGGUGUCUCAAGUCUAAGGACCAGAUACACCACUAGGACUACGGAAUUGCUGUCUAACAAUAAGGCAUCAUUAACCAUCCAACAUUCCGUAAGAGGAUCAAUCAAUUAACUCAUUCUCCAAUGAGCACCUAUACUAUAUCCCUAGUGUCCCUAUAUGAGCAACUAUGAAACCAACUGCAUCCAUCAUAUGGACGAGUAUACAGCACACCAAUUUGUCCGGUUAUUAUGAUGUCUCUUUCGAGUAACCUAUGAUCGGGAUUAUUUAUGAUAUGUGUUUAAAGGUAAAUCGAUCUUAUUAUCGUGAUCUCAUCACGAUCUGAUUCCCAUUGCACAGAUCCAAGGACAUCACAAUAUAUACAUGCAUAUAUGCAAUAGUUAAUAUAAAGUGAUAAAUAUCAAAAUAUAAUAAGUAAAAAAAAGAUUCUGUGUCAAGUCACACGUGUAUCACUCACGUGAUUGGCUUGUUGGGCACCUAUAACUAGCACCUCUCCGUCUCCAUUGAGGGAUUAUAGUUUUCUCAAAAAAAUCAUCAAUCUAAUUGGUCCCGUGAAAGGAUAGAAAGAGAGGAGAAAGGAUAUACUCAUUGUAGAUUCUGCAACGAUCUUGGAUUAAAGACGGUGCAUUGAAGAUCAAACAAAAAUAUUUGAACAAGCAUCAAAAGGUACGUAUCGUUAAACGAGAUCUAUGUAUUUGAUUUCAAUCCUGGUAUAAAGGUUAUUUUCGUAUUUUAAACAACACAUUACAGUUUUUUUGCUUACAAUUUGGUAUCAAAGCCUGGUUUUUUAAAUCAAACACAUUAUAUCUAUUAUUUUGAUGCAUGAUUGGCUUAGGUUUUGCAAAAUUAUAGUUUUACCCUUUGUAAAUUUCAUAAUUCUGAUUUAUGUUCUGUCAACAUAUUUAUGGUUUUUGUCAUCGGGUCUAAUUUCUAUCAAAUUAUAGUUCUACCCUUUAUAAAUCACAUGAUUUCAAUUUAUAUCCUUUCAAAUAUUUAUAGUUUUAUCGAAAUUGAGAAAUUUAGUUUAUAUUCUCAAUUAUAAAAUUGAUAAAUAUGAUUUAUUAUAAUUAUGAUUAAAUUUAAUCAUAAUUAUAUUUUUGAUUAUUUUAUUAUAUUUAAUUUUGAUAAAAAAUAUAAAUUAUGGUUUACUUUAUAGUUUUCUCAUAUGAAAUAUUAAUUAUAUAUGUAGUAAAUAAAAUCAAAAUAUAAUUAUUAUUUUUAAAAUUUUAUUUACUUAUUCACAUGUAUAUAUUUGAAAUUAUGAAAUAAUGUUUAUCUUUCACAUGAAGGCAUGAUUUAUAUGUUAUCAUGAUUAUCAUAUGAGUUUUCUUUUACUGAUUAAAGUUCAAUAAUUAUUAUGGUUAUUCUAUUAUUGAACUGCUUAGUGGGACUUGAAUGAGCUAACUAGCAUGUGUGGGACUUGAAUGAGCUAACUAGCAUGUGUGGGACUUGAAUGAGCUAUUAUUCACUAUAAUACAAAUAAGGAUAAGUGGGACUUGAAUGAGCUAACUAGCAUGUGUGUUCAGGAAGAAUUGAGAUUAAGACAGGAAAGUUCAUAUAAUGUCAUUACUACUACUCAAGGAGGUGGUAAUAAGAAAAGAAAGUUAAAGCAUCAUCCAUCAAAGAGAUUUGUCGAGUCUGAAAAUGUUAAACAGACUAAUGGAAAGAAAGUCUUUACUGUAAAGUAUUUUUUUUGUGACAAGAAAAGAACAUGUGAAGAAGGACUGCAUUAAAUGCAAGACUUGGUUCGAAAAUAAAGGUAUUAAUUCGACCUUUAUAUGUUUUGAAUCAAACAUUACAAAAGUUCCUUCAAACACUUGGUAGAUUGAUUCUGAUGCUUCAACUCAUGUUACCAAUAAGGAUUUCUUUCAAUUCCAAAACCAAAAGAACAUUAAAGAUUUAUUAAUAUGGGAAAUCGUCUUAAAGCGAAAGUGAUAUAAAUGAGAACUUAUCAUCUACGCAUAGAGACGGGUCACCUGAUGGAUCUUAUUGACACAUGUUAUGUCCCUACAAUUUCUAAAAAUUUAGUUUCUUUUUCUAGAAUUGAUGAGUUAGGAUAUUGUCUUUCUUUUGAUAGUGGCAAACUCAGUAUGUUUUAUGAUUCAAUAAAAGUUAGUUCCGGAAUUCUGUAUGAUGGUUUGUAUAGAAUUAAUUUGGAUAUUGAGUUUACAAAGACAUUAAUAACCCUACAAUCAAGUGUUAGAUUGAAACGUAGUUUCAAUAAUGAAAGAUCUUCUAUAUUGUGGCAUAUACGAUUGGUGCAUAUCUCCAAGGAAAAAAUUGAAAGAUUAGUGAGGAUAAUAUUUUGGAACAUUUAGACUUCACUAAUUUUGAUAUUUGUAUAGAUUGUAUUAAGGGAAAGCAAACUAAACAUAUAAAGAAAAAUGCCACAAGAAGUAAAGAAUUCGUUCAGAUUAUUCAUGCUGAUAUCUGCGGACCACUCCAUAUUCCUUGUUUUAGUGGAGAAAGGUAUUUUAUCACAUUUAUAGAUGAUCUGUCCAGAUAUGACUAUGUUUAUCUAAUACAUAAAAAGUCUCAAGCCAUUGAUACAUAAAUGAGGUCGUGAGACAAUUAGAUAUAAAAGUUAAAAUUGUCAGAUCUGACAAGUUUAAUGAAUUUUAUGGUAGAUAUGAUGGAUCUGGUUAGAAUAUUGGUUCUUUUGCUAGAUUCCUAGAACAAUGGGAUAUUUAUGCUCAAUAUGUAUUACCAGGUGUGCCAUAGCAGAAUGAUGUUGCUGAAAGGGGAAAUCAUACUCUUAUGGAUAUGGUUAGGAGCAUGAUAAGUUAUUCCUCUGUACUUAAGUCGAUGUGGUGUGAAGCUCUUAUAACAGCUAUGUACACAUUGAACAGGAUUCUUAGUAAGUCUGUUUCAUCGACUCCAUUUGAGUUAUGGACUGGUAGGAAGUCCAGUCUAAGACAUUUACAUAUUUGGGGGUGUCCUACAAAGAUAAAAGUAUUUAAUCCAUAUGAAACGAAAUUUGAUCUAAGAACUAUUUCAGGAUAUUUUAUUGGUUAUCUAGAAAAAUCCAAGGGAUACAGAUUUUAUUGCCCUAAUCAUAGUAUGAGGAUAGUAGAAUCUAGUAAUGCAAAAUUAUUAGAAAAUGGUGAAAUCAAUGGGAGUAAAAAAUCUUGAAUGAUUAAUUUUGAUAUUGAGGAGAUUUAGGUUAAUUCUCCUAUAUCAUCUCUUAUUUAAGAGAUUGUUGUUCCUCAAAUCAAUGAGAGUAUUAAUGAGGGUGAAUAAUAAAAUAACAUCGAAGAACUCUCACAUAAUGUUGAUGUCACCGCUGAUGAUCUUGUAGAACAAUCACAAUUGGCAGAUUUAAGAAGAUCUCAAAGGAAAAAGAAACAUGUCAUUUCUGAUGAUUAUGUGGUAUAUUUACAAGAAUCAAAUUAUUAUAUAGGAAUAAAAAGAGACCCCUUAUCGUUUCCACAAGCUAUAGAAAGUAAUGAUUAUGAAAAAUGGUAUGAUGCAAUGAAAGAAGAGUUAAAAUCAAUGGUUCAGAAUGGUGUCUAAGAUCUCGGUGAAAUGCCCAAUAAUUGUAAAAGAGUCGAUUGUAAAUGCGUCUUUAAGAUAAAAUGUGACUCAACGUGCAAUAUCAAACGAUUUAAAGCCAGACUUGUGGCCAAAGAUUUUUCUCAAAAGGAAGAUAUCGACUAUAAUGAGACUUUUUCUUCAGUUUCUAAAACAGACUCAUUGAGAAUUAUCAUGACAUUAGUAACUCAUUAUGAUCUUGAGUUUCAUCUGAUGGAUGUGAAAAUAACAUUUCUGAAUGGGGAUCUGGAUAAGGAAAUCUAUAUGGAACAACCUGAAGGAUUCGUAGAAAAGGGAAAAGAAGGUUAGGCUUGUAAACUUAAGAAAUCUAUUUAUGACAUUAAACAAACUUCUAGACAAUGGUAUAUAAAGUUUCAUAAUACCAUUACUUCCUUCGGAUUUAAGGAAAAUACUGUUGAUCAGGGUAUAUAUCUGAAGGUAAGUGAGAGCAAGGCAGCCUAUGUUAUUAGUAUUGAGAUAUUCAGAGAUAGAUCUCAAGGAUUAUUAGAAUUAUCUCAGAAAGGUUAUAUUGAUCGUAUGUUGGAGAGAUUUAAUAUGCAACUUUGCUCAGCCAAUGAUAUACCUAUUACUAGAGGUGAAAAUUUCAAUUAAAACCAGUGUCCAAGAAAUGACUUAGAAAAGAAUCAAAUGAAAAAUAUUCCUUAUGAGUGCGUAGUUGGAAGUCUAUUAUAUGCUCAAACUUGUACAAGACCAGAUAUCAAUUUUGCAAUUGCAAUACUGGGAAGAUACCAAAGCAACCCAGGAAUGAAACAUUGUAAAGCUGCAAAGAAAGUAAUGAGAUAUGUACAAGGAACGAAAGAUUAUAUGCUCACAUAUAGGAGAUCAGAUCAGCUUGAAGUAAUAGGAUAUUCAGAUGCUGAUUUUGUAAAUUGCCUCGACAGUAGGAAGUCCACUUCAGGAUUUAUAUUUAUGUUAGCUGGUGGGGCAAAUUCUUGGAAAAGUGUAAAGCAAUCACUUAUUGCAUCAUCCACAAUGGAAGCUGAAUUUGUGACAUGCUUUGAGGCCACAAAUCAAGUUUUAUAGCUGCGAAAUUUCAUCUCAGGAUUUGAUAUGGUCGACUCAAUUGCCAAACCACUGAAUAUAUUUUGUGAUAAUACCACAACAGUUUUCUUCUCUAAGAAUGACGAGUAUUUUAGUGGUUCCAAGCAUAAUGAGAUAAAGUACUUUGUAGUUAGAGAAAGAGUCCAGAAACAGCAAGUGCCAAUUGAGAACCUGAACACCACUAUGAUGAUUGCUGAUCCAUUAACAAAGGCCUUACAAUAUAGAAUAUUUAAAGAACAUGCUCUUAGAAUGAGGCUUGUGCGCAAGUCAUAAAGGAUAUGAUGACACAUAUUUAUAUGGAUGUUAUUAUUAAUAUUCUUCUUGCUUAAUUAAACUUAUUUGUUUCUGCCAUCCUUUUUACAUUUAUGUUUAUGCAUAUUAUAGUUGAAUGUAAUAACAAGAUAAAUUAUCAUUAUAGACUAUAUUAGGAAAGACUAACAAUGUUGUGGUACAUAGAAGGAAGUAUGACAUUGAUGAAAUACAACCGCUAUGAUUCGUAUUGAUAGUUGGACUUAAUAUAGUAUUAUUAUGUUUAUUGGACUUAUUGGCUUAUUAAAAAAAAAACAUGGCCACGUAUAAAAUAUUUUUCAAAAUUCUUUAGAAUCCAAUUAGGUAAAAUUAUUUUUUAAAUAAAUUUUAUUUUUAUUUAUUUUGAUUUUGAUUAUCUCUUUUAUAUCUUAUCAAUUAAUGGAUCAAGUGGGAGAAUGUUAGAUUUUCUGAACAGAUGACAUCAAACAAAAAUUUCUGAACAAAUGACAUCAAAAGAUAGCAUCGUUAAACGAUAUCAAUAUAUUUGAUUUCAAUCUUGACAUAAAGGUUAUUUCCGUAUUUUAAACAGCAUAUUACUGUUUUUAUUUUUACAAUAAUAGGUUUUCAUUCAUAAUUUUAUUAAACGAGAUCGACAUUUCUUUUUAUUUCAGCCUUAUCAUAUAAUAGUUCAUCUCCUGACAUAUCUGAUCGCCGUGGCUUUAAUUAUCGUCUCGCGGAUCACGCGAUUGCGGUGAGACGGACGUCGUCAUAAUAGACGACAUAGAUGUCGAAGGCGGCGACGAGUCCCGCUUUGUCGGACGUCACCAGUUUGCUCACCAUGUUCCCCGACGCGAACUGGAACACCCCCGUCCCUCCCACGAUGGCCCGGUCCGCCUUCCCGGAGGUGUCCAUCCUCCCUAUCACCGUGAGCGUGCUGUCGCAGAAGUCCCCCGCCGUGAACACCAGCACCAGCGGUAUCAGCGACGACUCGUCCCGCUGCGACGCGUGGAAGCUCACGCCCUGUGCCCUCCCGACUUCAGUCGAACGCUUGGAGGGGCCGGUCCUCAGCACGGCGUCGAAGAUGUCGACGUCCCCGAAGGUGUUGGGGAGGCUCAUGUUCACCACGGUCACGGUGGUGUUGUCGGGGCCGAGAAAGGUCUCGUGGAAGUAGACGCGGAAAUGGAUUCUGCUCUGCCGGCCGAGUUCGAACUCGGAGGUCACCGGGAAGGCCGUGGCAGCAGCCAGGAGGAGGAAGAAGACGAGGAGGAAGUAGAGAUGAGUGAAGCUAUUUGGGGAUGAAGCCAUGGCUAGGAUGACCGAAGGAUCGAAGUGAGGUGGGUACAACGCUGGAUCAGGAACAUGUAUUUAUAGAGUAAAGUCUGUGCCAUGCGUCGUCAACAAAUGCCAACGUCCAACCAAAUCUCAUUAUCAUGUCUACAUAAAAUACUCAAACGAAUAUUACUCUUGCAGGCGAAGGUAUCCGCGUAGGGAAGAAGAUAGCAUAUAGUAACACGAUGUACACACC